UUUCACUGUUCUACGAAGAGUCUCUUUGUUCCGUGCUUAUGUCAUAUGUCAUCGGAAUAUAGUCCAUUUCAAAUUGUUCUGACGAAAGAGGCUGGUUCCUAGUGUGGAAAUUCAUAUUGACCAGAUUCAAGUUAGUCAGAGAACUUAUAGGUGAGGCUAAUGACCCGGAGGUAAACAAUCUAAAAGCAAGUCGUGGUCGAAUCAAAAAACCUAGAAGAUACUAGGAAUCUAUUUCAAGAUGAAUAUACGCUGUGCAAAACCUGAAGAUCUCAUGAACAUGCAGCACUGUAAUUUACUGUGCUUACCAGAAAAUUAUCAGAUGAAAUAUUACUUUUAUCACGGACUCAGUUGGCCCCAACUGAGCUAUGUAGCAGAAGAUGAAAAAGGCAAUAUUGUUGGAUAUGUUCUCGCCAAAAUGGAAGAGGAUCAAGAAGACCUGAAGCAUGGACACAUAACCUCUUUGGCAGUAAAAAGAUCUCAUCGCCGACUGGGUUUAGCACAAAAACUUAUGGACCAGGCCUCGGAAGCUAUGGUAGAAUGUUUUGAUGCAAAAUAUGUCUCCUUGCAUGUGAGGAAGAGUAACCGAGCUGCCUUGAAUUUGUAUAAAAAUUCUUUGAAAUUUGAAACUGUGGAAAUAGAACCCAAGUAUUAUGCUGAUGGUGAAGAUGCCUAUUCCAUGAGAAGGGACCUUUCAGAGUUCUCAAGGAAAAACAAAUUGAAGUCUGAUGAGAAGAGUGAGGAAUAGAUCAUAUUCAAAAUUAUAUUGAAUGGUAAAUCAUUUUAAACAUGAAAUUUCAUGCUACUCUUGCUUCAGAUGGUAGUAGUACUGUUAGUAGUACUUGUAAAAAAUAUUAAAAUCAGUAUGUAAAUAAGGUUUCAUCAGUGAAAUUGUUUUUUAUUUUGAGAUUUUUUGUUGGUUUUGUUUAGUUAUUACAUCUUGUGAAUUUUUCUUAAUAAAAUUACAUGAGUCGGUCUAGAA
RNAcentral lists this unclassified non-coding RNA (979 nucleotides) under Leptinotarsa decemlineata (Colorado potato beetle). RNAcentral's name for it is "n-alpha-acetyltransferase 11, transcript variant X2". Lineage: Eukaryota; Metazoa; Arthropoda; Insecta; Coleoptera; Chrysomelidae. The record is from RNAcentral.